Molecule: long non-coding RNA, 323 nt
Organism: Sorex fumeus (smoky shrew)
Lineage: Eukaryota; Metazoa; Chordata; Mammalia; Eulipotyphla; Soricidae
Exons: 3
Source: RefSeq, a predicted model, not a curated record
CCACACCCGAGCUCAGAAGCAGAGGACCUGAGCAGAGGACGGUGUGGACGGUGCAAUGGUGCCAGGGGUAACUUCAUGGCCCAGGCUCCCCACUGCUGAAGCCGCAGCAGCUGGCCGGGUUCUCAGUCUCGGGUGUGGCAGCCCCAGGCAUCUGGAGCCCCCUGCAUGCUGAUAUCAGCCUCGGGACCGCAGAAGGCCUCCCGCACUGCUCAGGAGGGAGGCUGGUCACCGAGUCUCAGGAGGAGAAGCAGCCCAGGGAAGACAGGGCAAAGUUGGGGCACCGCCAGCUGGAUGCUCGGUGAGAAGCGUCUCUUAGCAGUCGG